AGGAAACAGACUCUUUUAAACGAGAUUUUGGAGCUGGGUUGUCUGCCAGCCUGCUGACAACAGGGACUCUCUUAUUCCAGGCUUCUCUGUCCAUGGGAAUUCCCAGACAAGAAACUAGAGUGAGUUGCCAUUUCCUUCUCCAGGGGACCUCCCCGACCCAGGGAUUGAACCUGUCUCCUGCAUUGCCAGGGCAGUGAAGAUGAUGGUCUUUCUCAAACUCAAGUAAUCUGCUAAUCCAGAGCAACCCAUAUCAGGCUUGCUUUGAGGUAUCCUGGAAUUCUUGCUUAAUCAAGAAUCUGUGUCCUGUUCUUGCCUCAAUAACAUGCAUACCUUCACCAAGUAGAGAAGAAUCAUUACAAAGAUAGAGCACUCAAUCAAAUCAAGAAUACUUGGUUAGU
Dama dama (fallow deer) is the source of this 398-nucleotide long non-coding RNA. RefSeq lists it as uncharacterized. The transcript has 3 exons. The record is from RefSeq and is a predicted model, not a curated record. Lineage: Eukaryota; Metazoa; Chordata; Mammalia; Artiodactyla; Cervidae.